Non-coding RNA from Solanum lycopersicum (tomato), 904 nucleotides. The record is from RefSeq and is a predicted model, not a curated record. NCBI's taxonomy places the organism in Eukaryota, Viridiplantae, Streptophyta, Magnoliopsida, Solanales, Solanaceae.
GAAUUUCUUUUGGUAAAUUGGGUGAAGUAUAAUUGGUUGAUUGUCUUGAAGUCGAUCCUUGUAGGUGUUGUAUCCUACUUGUGUUGUUUUGCUCCUCCCCCUACAGUUCCGCGAUCAUGCUAAGCCAAAAAAACGACAGAUUGUAUCCUGAAGUUACUUAUGCCUUGCAGGUUACAACCCUUUUUUGUGGUGUUAGUCUUCAUGGUUAACUCAGGCUACUAUUGCUGUGAUUCCUAAAAUUCAGUAAAACUAAACUCUUUUCGGCGAUGAGUUUUGAGGCAACCUAAUUCCUCCGAUCUGCCCCCUCUUUGAUGAGUUCAAUGGUUCCAACAUCAUCUAGAAAAUCGUCGACAACACUCAGGUUCUAUCAUUCUUGUUUUGUUAUUUUAUUGCACUUACCUAAUAAAAUUAACAUAAUUGUUCUAUUAUUUGAUGUUUCUAUUUCUAUAACCUAUGUUUGUGGCUUUUGGGUAUGAUGGUAGUUUAAGAAUGUCUCCUCGAUUAGGUUUAGGGUUUGGGGGUCAGGGAUGGUAAAAGUAUCAAGAGAGAUUCUAGAUUGUAAGUUAGAGUCUAUAAAACAUAGCGAUAUUAAUAGGGAGGUCAAACGAGUUAGUAAAUAUUCUUAAGAAGAGGAAGAUUAAUAUAACUUGUAUCCAGGAAAUCAAAUGGGUAGGAACCAAAACUGUCAUCAUACUCCAAAAGUUGAUUUCUAGUUUUCUAAAGAUUAUAUUUACAACGGGGGUAAGUUGAACGAGAGAAUCAAAGGGUCCUUUACAUCAAUAAUAAAUUUGUAAUUAAAAACAGGAAGAGUGUCAAUAAAAGAUUGAUCGACACUAAUAAAGGUGAAAAGGUUGUUGCAAUUGACCUAAAUUGAAAUCUAACAAAUAAAUGAAGCAAACCAAAA